CAGUAGCCGCGGGAAUACGAAGGGGGCUAGCGUUGCUCGGAAUUACUGGGCGUAAAGGGAGCGUAGGCGGAUGAAUUAGUCAGGGGUGAAAUCCCGGGGCUCAACCUCGGAACUGCCUUUGAUACUGUUCAUCUUGAGUAUGGGAGAGGUGUGUGGAACUCCGAGUGUAGAGGUGAAAUUCGUAGAUAUUCGGAAGAACACCAGUGGCGAAGGCGACACACUGGCCCAUUACUGACGCUGAGGCUCGAAAGCGUGGGGAGCAAACAGGAUUAGAUACCCCGGUAGUCCCUGUCUCUUAUAC
This 301-nucleotide ribosomal RNA is filed under the name uncultured bacterium. RNAcentral describes it as "partial 16S ribosomal RNA". It matches the Rfam family "Bacterial small subunit ribosomal RNA", at positions 509 to 807 of the family's 1533-position model. The record is from RNAcentral.